RNAcentral lists this ribosomal RNA (379 nucleotides) under uncultured cyanobacterium. RNAcentral describes it as "bacterial SSU rRNA". It matches the Rfam family "Bacterial small subunit ribosomal RNA", at positions 376 to 770 of the family's 1533-position model. The record is from RNAcentral. Lineage: Bacteria; Bacillati; Cyanobacteriota.
CGAAAGCCUGACGGAGCAACGCCGCGUGUGGGAAGAAGGCCUUUGGGCUGUCAACCACUUUUCUCAGGGAAGAAGCUCUGACGGUACCUGAGGAAUCAGCCUCGGCUAACUCCGUGCCAGCAGCCGCGGUAAUGCGGAGGAGGCAAGCGUUAUCCGGAAUCAUUGGGCGUAAAGCGUUCGUAGGCGGCUGUUCAAGUCUGCUGUCAAAGACCGAGGCUCAACCUCGGGUCGGCAGUGGAAACUGGAUAGCUAGAGGUCGGUAGAGGCAGAGGGAAUUCCCAGUGUAGCGGUGAAAUGCGUAGAGAUUGGGAAGAACACCGGUGGCGAAAGCGCUCUACUGGGCCGUGACUGACCCUGAGGGACGAAAGCUAGGGGAGCG